UAUCCAAACGAUGGAAAUGGGAAGGGGAGGAAGAAGGAGGAGGGCCACGGGAGGAACAGCCGGCACAGCGGGACAGCACCGAAAAACAGAGAAAGAAAGACGCACUUAUUAGAAUAUGAGCGAGAAAGGAGCGUGAUUGGAAUUUCAAUUAGCUGCUCAGGGCUGUAAACAAGAAAGAGCCGUGAACCGCCAGGCAAACACAAGAAUAUCUUAUAUCCCAGCAAACAGCGGACCAAUCGGCAACCGGAGCUGCACCGAGUGGCUGAUUAGCAGUCAGAGCGGCCGGUUCAUUACCCAGGUGAACUGGUUAGUUUGAAACACAGCCAAACAGAAAGCAGAUGUGAACGCAGCUCAGCGUGUUAUUGGAUGAUGGACUGUGCUUCCUGAAGGACGAGGCGACUGAAUACAAAAGAAUGGAAGCAACAUGGCUGCAGCUGACACAAAAUCAUCUCACCCAAAGUCUGCGUGUCCUCCCUCACUACAUCUGAGAAGCUUCCCGAGAUCUUCCUGGGUUUUUUCCCCUCCUUCCUCUUCUGUACAUGUCCAAACCACAUGAGCUGACCAACUGAUAUAUACUCAUUUCAAAAGUUUUAGACACAAAAAUGGUGCAUCAAUCUUUCUCUAUAAUAAUCUGCAAAGAAACGUGGAGUAAUGUAUGCCGUGUCUGAAUUGAUCUGCAUUGGACAACAUGGAAGUUUGUUGCUCUUCCAAACGAUUUCAUAGGGUUUAUCGCUCUGUAUGAAGUCGAUAUCUUUUCGCUCUGGUGCUGUUGGUUGAGCAACUUUGGGCUCUGGCAAAUUGUGUGUGGCAUUUUUCAAUACUUUUUGACAGUUCUCUGCUAAAUGAUUAAUGGCAUAACAGGAAAAAAAAGAAAAGGAAGCCAUAUAGAAGAGAAACAUGUUGGGCCUGUUUUACUGCUUCACGCUGCGCUCGUCGAAAUGAAAAAAAAAAGCAACUUAUAGCAUCAAUAGAGGACAUAUUUUCCCUGCGAUGGACGGAAUAACAAAAGCAAAUUUAAAUUUUAAUAAUGAAGCUUUGAACACUCGACCCCUACAAAGCAAGAAUUUUUUGAAGGACAAAACAUGGCAGGACUAAAGUUUGUGUAGCUUCUCAUUGACCGUCUGCGUCAUUAAUGUCUUGAAGAGAAGCAGCUGUUCAACGUUUAACGCCAAAGUUAACAAAAUGUUAUGAAGUGUUGCUCAAACAGAGCGGCGGGGGGUUGAUUUCCCUUAUGUUAGCAACUCACGACCACCUGCCAUUAAUUAGAGGCCAUUAAUUUUCUUGAUUAAUCACGUCGGUUUUAAAAUAUCACAAUGAAUAAAUAGUUUGUGAGAAUUCAAUAUGUUGGUUUUGAGCAAACAUAAAUCCAAUGAGACGUAACUCCGAAGAACCACCUGUGUUUGCUGACCAGGGAGAGCUCACCUGUCAACUGAACUUCUUUGGAUUCAUUUUGAAAAGAUUUAUUUCAUUUGGGCAUUUCAGAAACUCCCUCUUCCUUAAAAGCACUAACAUUAACAGGCUCAAUCUGCCAGCAGAGACAGCACGAGGUACGAGGGAGGACCUGCUGCUGAUUGGCCAAAAUGUAAUCCGCGGAUGUGACAGGCAGUUUCCGUGACGCACACAUGCUACACACAAAGCAGUGUACUCGUCCUCUCCACACGUACUCACACAUUCAUCGUGAAGUAUUUGAUAAGCAUGUUAUGCAGCCUUCCCAUAAUAACCUGUGUAAGUAGAGGUGACAUAAUAACGGCCAUUUGUCAAAGCUAAUGAUUCCUGCUUGUCAACGUCUCAGCUGCUGUCACUUUAACGGAUGGCCUCGGCCCGCUCGGCUGGUGACACCAAAGGUUACGCCGCUGUUUGCUGGUUAAUAAUGAGAGCUGACGCUGCUGCUGAUGGGAGAUGAACGAGCUGUGUACUUCCACCGUCCCGGCCUCUUUUUCUCCUGACGGAUCGUCCUCUGGAUUUAUACGGCUCAUCUGGAAGAGCUUCAUUGUGCUUUGAUUUGGGUCUCGCCGGGCGACGCUCGCCGCUUUACUGCGCGACUCACCAGUCAGUUGUUAGCUAGGUCUCAGAAGAGCGCUGGUCCAAGCCAGUCACUGUUCCACACAGAUCUGUUACACGAGUCGUUUUUCUCCACGCUAUGAGAUAAAUGAGUUACUACUUCUGUUCCAGAUGACAGGAUUUAAACAUCUGCUGCCUCCAACAAUAAAAGAGAUUAUUUUUGUCAUUCUAGAUUUAAUCGAUCUUAACAAUUAGCACUUUUUCAAACGCCCGUGGGUGCUUAUUUCUUCAGUAAAGCCUUUAAUGACAGCCAUUAUCCUGAUUCAGUUUGGUACCAUGGAAACAUUCCUCCCCUUGGGGAUUUGACUCUGUUGACAGAUUUUGUUUCUUCUCUGGCAGCAAAAUAUAUAUAUGGGUCUGAUGAACUUGAAGCAUUUUAAAUUUGAAG
Molecule: long non-coding RNA, 2449 nt
Organism: Oreochromis niloticus (Nile tilapia)
Lineage: Eukaryota; Metazoa; Chordata; Actinopteri; Cichliformes; Cichlidae
Exons: 3
Source: RefSeq, a predicted model, not a curated record